GACGAACGCUGGCGGCGUGCUUAACACAUGCAAGUCGAGCGGUAAGGCCCUUUCGGGGGUACGACGAGCGGCGAACGGGUGAGUAACACGUGGGUGACCUGCCCUCAGCUCUGGGAUAAGCCUGGGAAACCGGGUCUAAUACUGGAUAUGACUCCAUGACGCAUGUUGGUGGGGUGGAAAGCCUUGUGCGGCUGAGGAUGGGCCCGCGGCCUAUCAGCUUGUUGGUGGGGUGAGGCCCUACCAAGGCGACGACGGGUAGCCGGCCUGAGAGGGCGACCGGCCACACUGGGACUGAGACACGGCCCAGACUCCUACGGGAGGCAGCAGUGGGGAAUCUUGCGCAAUGGGCGAAAGCCUGACCCAGCAAUACCGCGUGAGGGAUGAAGGCC
RNAcentral lists this ribosomal RNA (389 nucleotides) under uncultured bacterium. RNAcentral's name for it is "bacterial SSU rRNA". It matches the Rfam family "Bacterial small subunit ribosomal RNA", at positions 28 to 416 of the family's 1533-position model. The record is from RNAcentral.